RNAcentral lists this ribosomal RNA (474 nucleotides) under uncultured bacterium. Its description in RNAcentral is "SSU rRNA". It matches the Rfam family "Bacterial small subunit ribosomal RNA", at positions 26 to 518 of the family's 1533-position model. The record is from RNAcentral.
AGGACGAACGCUUGCGACGUGCCUAAGAAAUGCAAGUCGAACGGGUGUCACCCUUCGGGGUGGCGCUAGUGGCGAACGGUCGCGUAACACGUGGGCAACCUGCCCUGAAGCGGGGGACAACAACUCGAAAGAGUUGCUAAUACCGCAUGUGGACCCGGAGUGGCAUCACCCCGGAUCCAAAGCCGCAAGGCACUUCAGGAUGGGCCCGCGGCCUAUCAGCUAGUUGGUGAGGUAACGGCCCACCAAGGCUUCGACGGGUAGCUGGUCUGAGAGGACGAUCAGCCGGAUUGGGACUGAGAUACGGCCCAGACUCCUACGGGGGGCAGCAAUUAGGAAUCUUGCGCAAUGGGCGAAAGCCUGACGCAGCGACGUCGCGUGAAGGAUGAAAUCUUUCGGGAUGUAAACUUCUUUUUCGGGAAGAAACAAUGACGGUACCCGGAGAAUAAGCCCGGCUAACUACGCGCCAGCAGCCGC